UUCCCAUAGCAAACUGCUCAGUAACACAUGAUCAACUUGCCCCUAUGGAGAAACAUAACCUCGGGAAACUGAGGAUAAUAUUUCAUAAUUGAAUAGGCUUGGAAAAGUUUUUCAAUAAAAGAGAUAAGAAAAAUGGUUCUUAUUUGCCAUAGGAUAGGAUCGUGCUCGAUUAUGGUUGUUGGUGAGGUAACGGCUCACCAAGCCGAUAAUCGAUAGGGGCCGUGAGAGCGGGAGCCCCGAGAUGGGUACUGAGACAACGACCCAGACCUUACGAGGUGCAGCAGGCGCGGGACCUCCGCAAUACACGAAAGUGUGACGGGGUUACCCAAAGUGUCCAGUAUUGGACUGUGGUAGGUGAGUAAUGUCCCCUACUAGAAAGGAGAGGGCAAGGCUGGUGCCAGCCGCCGCGGUAAAACCAGCUCUUCAAGUGGUCGGGAUGAUUAUUGGGCUUAAAGUGUCCGUAGCCGGUUUAGUAAGUUCCUGGUAAAAUCGAGUAGCUUAACUAUUUGUAUGCUAGGAAUACUGCUAUACUAGAGGGCGGGAGAGGUCUGAGGUACUACAGGGGUAGGGGUGAAAUCUUAUAAUCCUUGUAGGACCACCAGUGGCGAAGGCGUCAGACUGGAACGCGCCUGACGGUGAGGGACGAAAGCCAGGGGAGCGAACCGGAUUAGAUACCCGGGUAGUCCUGGCCGUAAACGAUGCAUACUAGGUGAUGGCACGGCCAUGAGCCGUGUCAGUGCCGUAGGGAAACCGUUAAGUGUGCCGCCUGGGAAGUACGGUCGCAAGGCUAAAACUUAAAGGAAUUGGCGGGGGAGCACCACAAGGGGUGAAGCCUGCGGUUCAAUUGGAGUCAACGCCGGA
RNAcentral lists this ribosomal RNA (861 nucleotides) under uncultured archaeon. RNAcentral's name for it is "bacterial SSU rRNA". It matches the Rfam family "Archaeal small subunit ribosomal RNA", at positions 73 to 922 of the family's 1478-position model. The record is from RNAcentral.